AGCCUGUUGGUCAAGGGGUCAAGACGCUGCGUUCUCAGCGCGGAAUCACGGGUUCAAAUCCCGUACAGGUUA
RNAcentral lists this transfer RNA (72 nucleotides) under Enterococcus sp. AZ163. RNAcentral describes it as "tRNA-Glu". It matches the Rfam family "tRNA". From Rfam's summary of the family: Transfer RNA (tRNA) molecules are approximately 80 nucleotides in length. Their secondary structure includes four short double-helical elements and three loops (D, anti-codon, and T loops). The record is from RNAcentral. Lineage: Bacteria; Bacillati; Bacillota; Bacilli; Lactobacillales; Enterococcaceae. RNAcentral also lists the same sequence under 3 other names.